UACGUAGGUGGCAAGCGUUGUCCGGAUUUACUGGGUGUAAAGAGCGCGCAGGCGGUCGAUUUAGUCGCGUGUGAAAGCCCCCGGCUCAACUGGGGAGGGUCACGCGAUACUGAUCGACUCGAAGGCAGGAGAGGGUAGUGGAAUUCCCGGUGUAGUGGUGAAAUGCGUAGAUAUCGGGAGGAACACCAGUGGCGAAGGCGACUACCUGGCCUGUUCUUGACGCUGAGGCGCGAAAGCGUGGGGAGCGAACCGG
RNAcentral lists this ribosomal RNA (253 nucleotides) under uncultured bacterium. RNAcentral describes it as "partial 16S ribosomal RNA". It matches the Rfam family "Bacterial small subunit ribosomal RNA", at positions 524 to 776 of the family's 1533-position model. The record is from RNAcentral.